This 436-nucleotide long non-coding RNA is filed under the name Priapulus caudatus. Its description in RNAcentral is "uncharacterized LOC106809970, transcript variant X3". Lineage: Eukaryota; Metazoa; Priapulida; Priapulimorpha; Priapulimorphida; Priapulidae. The record is from RNAcentral.
CAGUAUACACGUGGCACGAGGAGUCCCUGCCAUGUUCUCUCUGUGUUUCUGUCGUCAAACUGUGAGAACUUCGAAGGAGCAUCAUAAUUUCAGCUAACAAUAUUAAUGGAUUAAUCAGGAUAGCACGCACAUAUCUGAAUGAGUUAAAUUGGUCAAUCGCCAGCCUGGAGGACACAGAGAAUUAUCACGUUCUCGAGGCAGCGUCGUGCAACGAUUGAGUGGUUACCGGUCUCCAGUUGAAUAUACCAAGAGCGCCAAUCACGUCGCUGAAGGACACGGAGAAUCAACAUGUUUUCGAGCAACGUCGUGCACCGCUCGCCAGUUGAGCAUACCAAAAAGGUUAUUUUUAACUGGAAAUCGCCAUAAACAUUGAGCGUAAUCGAGAUAAACAUACAGCAGGAUACGGGAUCGACACGUUUGCAAGGCAACAAUCGAG